CCCCGGCGAGGGGAGUGAAAAAGAACCUGAAACCGUGUACGUACAAGCAGUGGGAGCCUCUUAAUGGGGUGACUGCGUACCUUUUGUAUAAUGGGUCAGCGACUUAUAUUCUGUAGCAAGGUUAACCGAAUAGGGGAGCCGAAGGGAAACCGAGUCUUAACUGGGCGUUAAGUUGCAGGGUAUAGACCCGAAACCCGGUGAUCUAGCCAUGGGCAGGUUGAAGGUUGGGUAACACUAACUGGAGGACCGAACCGACUAAUGUUGAAAAAUUAGCGGAUGACUUGUGGCUGGGGGUGAAAGGCCAAUCAAACCGGGAGAUAGCUGGUUCUCCCCGAAAGCUAUUUAGGUAGCGCCUCGUGAAUUCAUCUCCGGGGGUAGAGCACUGUUUCGGCAAGGGGGUCAUCCCGACUUACCAACCCGAUGCAAACUGCGAAUACCGGAGAAUGUUAUCACGGGAGACACACGGCGGGUGCUAACGUCCGUCGUGAAGAGGGAAACAACCCAGACCGCCAGCUAAGGUCCCAAAGUCAUGGUUAAGUGGGAAACGAUGUGGGAAGGCCCAGACAGCCAGGAUGUUGGCUUAGAAGCAGCCAUCAUUUAAAGAAAGCGUAAUAGCUCACUGGUCGAGUCGGCCUGCGCGGAAGAUGUAACGGGGCUAAACCAUGCACCGAAGCUGCGGCAGCGACACUAUGUGUUGUUGGGUAGGGGAGCGUUCUGUAAGCCUGUGAAGGUGGCCUGUGAGGGUUGCUGGAGGUAUCAGAAGUGCGAAUGCUGACAUAAGUAACGAUAAAGCGGGUGAAAAGCCCGCUCGCCGGAAGACCAAGGGUUCCUGUCCAACGUUAAUCGGGGCAGGGUGAGUCGACCCCUAAGGCGAGGCCGAAAGGCGUAGUCGAUGGGAAACAGGUUAAUAUUCCUGUACUUGGUGUUACUGCGAAGGGGGGACGGAGAAGGCUAUGUUGGCCGGGCGACGGUUGUCCCGGUUUAAGCGUGUAGGCUGGUUUUCCAGGCAAAUCCGGAAAACCAAGGCUGAGGCGUGAUGACGAAGCACUACGGUGCUGAAGCGACAAAUGCCCUGCUUCCAGGAAAAGCCUCUAAGCAUCAGGUAACAUCAAAUCGUACCCCAAACCGACACAGGUGGUCAGGUAGAGAAUACCAAGGCGCUUGAGAGAACUCGGGUGAAGGAACUAGGCAAAAUGGUGCCGUAACUUCGGGAGAAGGCACGCUGAUAUGUAGGUGAAGCGACUUGCUCGUGGAGCUGAAAUCAGUCGAAGAUACCAGCUGGCUGCAACUGUUUAUUAAAAACACAGCACUGUGCAAACACGAAAGUGGACGUAUACGGUGUGACGCCUGCCCGGUGCCGGAAGGUUAAUUGAUGGGGUUAGCGGUAACGCGAAGCUCUUGAUCGAAGCCCCGGUAAACGGCGGCCGUAACUAUAACGGUCCUAAGGUAGCGAAAUUCCUUGUCGGGUAAGUUCCGACCUGCACGAAUGGCGUAAUGAUGGCCAGGCUGUCUCCACCCGAGACUCAGUGAAAUUGAACUCGCUGUGAAGAUGCAGUGUACCCGCGGCAAGACGGAAAGACCCCGUGAACCUUUACUAUAGCUUGACACUGAACAUUGAGCCUUGAUGUGUAGGAUAGGUGGGAGGCUUUGAAGUGUGGACGCCAGUCUGCAUGGAGCCGACCUUGAAAUACCACCCUUUAAUGUUUGAUGUUCUAACGUUGGCCCGUAAUCCGGGUUGCGGACAGUGUCUGGUGGGUAGUUUGACUGGGGCGGUCUCCUCCUAAAGAGUAACGGAGGAGCACGAAGGUUGGCUAAUCCUGGUCGGACAUCAGGAGGUUAGUGCAAUGGCAUAAGCCAGCUUGACUGCGAGCGUGACGGCGCGAGCAGGUGCGAAAGCAGGUCAUAGUGAUCCGGUGGUUCUGAAUGGAAGGGCCAUCGCUCAACGGAUAAAAGGUACUCCGGGGAUAACAGGCUGAUACCGCCCAAGAGUUCAUAUCGACGGCGGUGUUUGGCACCUCGAUGUCGGCUCAUCACAUCCUGGGGCUGAAGUAGGUCCCAAGGGUAUGGCUGUUCGCCAUUUAAAGUGGUACGCGAGCUGGGUUUAGAACGUCGUGAGACAGUUCGGUCCCUAUCUGCCGUGGGCGCUGGAGAACUGAGGGGGGCUGCUCCUAGUACGAGAGGACCGGAGUGGACGCAUCACUGGUGUUCGGGUUGUCAUGCCAAUGGCACUGCCCGGUAGCUAAAUGCGGAAGAGAUAAGUGCUGAAAGCAUCUAAGCACGAAACUUGCCCCGAGAUGAGUUCUCCCUGAGACUUAGAGUCUCCUGAAGGAACGUUGAAGACGACGACGUUGAUAGGCCGGGUGUGUAAGCGCAGCGAUGCGUUGAGCUAACCGGUACUAAUGAACCGUGAGGCUUAACCUU
This 2421-nucleotide ribosomal RNA is filed under the name Escherichia coli. RNAcentral's name for it is "partial 23S ribosomal RNA". It matches the Rfam family "Bacterial large subunit ribosomal RNA", at positions 524 to 2925 of the family's 2925-position model. The record is from RNAcentral. Lineage: Bacteria; Pseudomonadati; Pseudomonadota; Gammaproteobacteria; Enterobacterales; Enterobacteriaceae.